GUAGGCAAGUAGUUGGACAAAAAGCAAGAAGCUGAUCGAUGUUGCUGGCUUUGGAUUCUUUGUGAACAAAUGAGACAAGGCUGCAAAUUCAGAGGAUCCUCCCAGAAGAUAAGAUGGAUCAGGUCACCACCUUCUUCCCUGCUUCACACCCUCAGGCCCCGACUCUCGUCUGCUGAGAUCACUCUCCAAACCAAUCUUCCCUUACAAAGCCCUUGUUGCAGGCUAUGCUUUCUGAGGGGAACCCAGGCCAAGACACUAAAAUGACACACCAACAUGAAGACAUGAACACAAUUGCAAAGGGAUUGGUUGGAUUGCAUAUCUCUGUGAAUGGGACUCAAGAGAAGUUUGGGAAAUGCUGGACCAGAUGACCCUUGCAAUCAUGGUGCACAGAAUUAAAACCGUCAAGGUCCCCAUCCAUCUCUGAGAUGGAUGAGAAUCUGAGUCUUCCACAAGAUGCCCAAGACUUGUUAAACCCGUGGAAUGUCUUUGGGUAUGUGUGACAUCAACAAGAAGCAGCAGACAAAACAAAAUAUUUUCACAAACAUUCAGAAAUCCUUAAAUCUUCCCCUUUUGUCUAAAAUAGUGAUGUACAUUCAAUGCAAAGGGCAAAUGGAACCAUUGAAAAGUACUUUUUGCAUCCAAAACAGCCAACGCUUUGGUGCCUGCUAUGUGUCAGACACUGAUUCUUCUGUCAUCCUUAUUCUACUGAUGAGGCAACUGAGGCAGCUUCAGAGAGUUCGAGUAACCUGCAGAUCACACAACUAGGAAGUAAGAGAGCUGGAACUUGACGUUGGGCUGUUGACCUCCAGAAAUGGUGUUUUUUCCAGUACUCAGUGCUGCCUCUGACUCCAUUGUGAUGGUUG
RNAcentral lists this long non-coding RNA (863 nucleotides) under Pan troglodytes (chimpanzee). RNAcentral describes it as "lincRNA". The record is from RNAcentral. Lineage: Eukaryota; Metazoa; Chordata; Mammalia; Primates; Hominidae.